GGUGAGUAAUGCCUAGGAAUCUGCCUGGUAGUGGGGGACAACGUUUCGAAAGGAACGCUAAUACCGCAUACGUCCUACGGGAGAAAGCAGGGGACCUUCGGGCCUUGCGCUAUCAGAUGAGCCUAGGUCGGAUUAGCUAGUUGGUGAGGUAAUGGCUCACCAAGGCGACGAUCCGUAACUGGUCUGAGAGGAUGAUCAGUCACACUGUAACUGAGACACGGUCCAG
This 226-nucleotide ribosomal RNA is filed under the name uncultured Pseudomonadales bacterium. RNAcentral describes it as "partial 16S ribosomal RNA". It matches the Rfam family "Bacterial small subunit ribosomal RNA", at positions 105 to 334 of the family's 1533-position model. The record is from RNAcentral. Lineage: Bacteria; Pseudomonadati; Pseudomonadota; Gammaproteobacteria; Pseudomonadales.